Molecule: ribosomal RNA, 399 nt
Filed under: uncultured bacterium
Lineage: Bacteria
Description: bacterial SSU rRNA
Rfam family: Bacterial small subunit ribosomal RNA
Source: RNAcentral
UGGGGAAUAUUGGGCAAUGGGCGCAAGCCUGACCCAGCAACGCCGCGUGAGGGAAGAAGGUCUUCGGAUUGUAAACCUCUGUCCUUGGGGACGAAAAAAAUGACGGUACCCAAGGAGGAAGCUCCGGCUAACUACGUGCCAGCAGCCGCGGUAAUACGUAGGGAGCGAGCGUUGUCCGGAAUUACUGGGCGUAAAGGGUGCGUAGGCGGUCAGGCAAGUCAGAUGUGAAAUCCCCGGGCUUAACUCGGGUGGUGCAUUUGAGACUGCUUGACUUGAGUGCAGGAGAGGAAAGCGGAAUUCCUAGUGUAGCGGUGAAAUGCGUAGAUAUAGGAGGAACAUCGAGUGGCGAAGGCGGCUUUCUGGACUGUAACUGACGCUGAGGCACGAAAGCGUGGGGAG